AAAUUGUUUAGCUGAUGGGAAAGCGCUUGUCUUGAAAAUAAGAGAUAAAGGUUCAACUCCUUUAAUAAUUUA
RNAcentral lists this transfer RNA (72 nucleotides) under Lepidurus arcticus. RNAcentral's name for it is "tRNA-Ser". It matches the Rfam family "tRNA". From Rfam's summary of the family: Transfer RNA (tRNA) molecules are approximately 80 nucleotides in length. Their secondary structure includes four short double-helical elements and three loops (D, anti-codon, and T loops). Lineage: Eukaryota; Metazoa; Arthropoda; Branchiopoda; Notostraca; Triopsidae. The record is from RNAcentral.